UACGGAUGGGGCUAGCGUUGUUCGGAAUUACUGGGCGUAAAGGGCGCGUAGGCGGCCAUUUAAGUUAGACGUGAAAGCCCUGGGCUUAACCUAGGAACUGCGUUUAAUACUGGAUGGCUAGAGUAUGGUAGAGGAAAGCGGAAUUCCUAGUGUAGAGGUGAAAUUCGUAGAUAUUAGGAAGAACACCAGAGGCGAAGGCGCUUUCUGGACCAUUACUGACGCUGAGGCGCGAAAGCGUGGGGAGCAAACAGG
Molecule: ribosomal RNA, 252 nt
Filed under: uncultured bacterium
Lineage: Bacteria
Description: partial 16S ribosomal RNA
Rfam family: Bacterial small subunit ribosomal RNA
Source: RNAcentral